Molecule: long non-coding RNA, 492 nt
Filed under: Ananas comosus (pineapple)
Lineage: Eukaryota; Viridiplantae; Streptophyta; Magnoliopsida; Poales; Bromeliaceae
Description: long non-coding RNA (ACOM_LNC015257)
Source: RNAcentral
CUAAUUGCUGAAAAUCUGCAAUUUGCAGAUUGCAAUGCUAACUCUCUGCUCUCGCGUCCCGCUGAGUCUAGUUUGCGUCUAUUUCACGCCAACAAUACUCGGACUCGUCCCGACACUCUCCAGAGCUGUCGACAAGCCUCAAAUGCUGAAUUCUAGGGUCACUACAAUGUGUGUGUGUGUGUGUGUGUGUGUGUGUGUGUUUGAUAUUAUAUUUGAAUUUGUAUUUUAAAAAUAGAUUUAAUGUAAUAUAUUUUGAAAUAUUAUAAAGAGAAAUAAAUUAUUUCGAAUUUGAGUUUUCGAGUUCGAACUCGGGUUUAGCUUUCAGAUUUUUGGUCACGUUCGGAUUUAGAUAUAGAUUUUUAAAAUCCGGAUUCAGGUUUCGGGCUUGGUAGUCGGGUUUGGAUUUGAGUUUUUAAAAAUUCGUCCCGAAUUUGAUCCGUUGACAUAUCUAAUAAUGAGAUUGAAAUUAAAAGAUAGUUGCUUUUGCAUAUA